This 372-nucleotide ribosomal RNA is filed under the name uncultured bacterium. RNAcentral's name for it is "bacterial SSU rRNA". It matches the Rfam family "Bacterial small subunit ribosomal RNA", at positions 524 to 898 of the family's 1533-position model. The record is from RNAcentral.
UACGGAGGAUCCAAGCGUUAUCCGGAUUUAUUGGGUUUAAAGGGUGCGUAGGCGGCCUGUUAAGUCAGGGGUGAAAGACGGUAGCUCAACUAUCGCAGUGCCCUUGAUACUGAUGGGCUUGAAUGGACUAGAGGUAGGCGGAAUGAGACAAGUAGCGGUGAAAUGCAUAGAUAUGUCUCAGAACACCGAUUGCGAAGGCAGCUUACUAUGGUCUUAUUGACGCUGAGGCACGAAAGCGUGGGGAUCAAACAGGAUUAGAUACCCUGGUAGUCCACGCCCUAAACGAUGAACACUCGCUGUUGGCGAUACACAGUCAGCGGCUAAGCGAAAGCGUUAAGUGUUCCACCUGGGGAGUACGCUCGCAAGAGUGAA